Molecule: transfer RNA, 99 nt
Filed under: Nitrososphaerota archaeon
Lineage: Archaea; Thermoproteati; Nitrososphaerota
Also listed under: 1 other name
Description: Thaumarchaeota archaeon tRNA-Lys
Rfam family: tRNA
About the family: Transfer RNA (tRNA) molecules are approximately 80 nucleotides in length. Their secondary structure includes four short double-helical elements and three loops (D, anti-codon, and T loops).
Source: RNAcentral
GGGCCCGUAGCUCAGCCAGGUAGAAUAUUGCCUAAAGCACCGGGCUUUUAACCCGGGAGUCCCGGGUCCGAAUCACAGGAGGGAAUCCCGGCGGGCCCG